RNAcentral lists this unclassified non-coding RNA (190 nucleotides) under uncultured fungus. Its description in RNAcentral is "sequence contains ITS1". Lineage: Eukaryota; Fungi. The record is from RNAcentral.
UUGACUUAUUAAGUGUGUCACUCAGAGAGGCCUGUAAAGACAAUGGUUUGGGUACCUCCGGCGGGCCUUGGGCGGCGCCUCCCGGGGGAGGGCCGGCCCGCCGAAGCAACUGUUCAGAGGUAUGGUUCACGAUGGUUUAAGGGAGUUUUGCAACUCUUUAAUGAUCCCUCCGCUGGUUCACCAACGGAGA